This 500-nucleotide ribosomal RNA is filed under the name uncultured Eubacteriales bacterium. RNAcentral's name for it is "uncultured Clostridiales bacterium partial 16S ribosomal RNA". The record is from RNAcentral. Lineage: Bacteria; Bacillati; Bacillota; Clostridia; Eubacteriales.
CACGUAGUUAGCCGGGGCUUCUUAGUCAGGUACCGUCUUUUUUCUUCCCUGCUGAUAGAGCUUUACAUACCGAAAUACUUCUUCACUCACGCGGCGUCGCUGCAUCAGGGUUUCCCCCAUUGUGCAAUAUUCCCCACUGCUGCCUCCCGUAGGAGUUUGGACCGUGUCUCAGUCCCAAUGUGGCCGUUCACCCUCUCAGGCCGGCUACUGAUCGUCGCCUUGGUAGGCCGUUACCCCACCAACCAGCUAAUCAGACGCGGGCUCAUCUUAUACUACCGGAGUUUUUCACACAGAAACAUGCGUCCCCGUGCGCUUAUGCGGUAUUAGCAGUCAUUUCUAACUGUUAUCCCCCUGUAUAAGGCAGAUUACCCACGUGUUACUCACCCGUCCGCCGCUAAGUCAAUUUCGAUUCCAUCCGAAAAUUUCCUCAAAAUCGCUUCGCUCGACUUGCAUGUGUUAGGCACGCCGCCAGCGUUCAUCCUGAGCCAGGAUCAAACUCU